RNAcentral lists this ribosomal RNA (378 nucleotides) under uncultured organism. Its description in RNAcentral is "partial 16S ribosomal RNA". It matches the Rfam family "Archaeal small subunit ribosomal RNA", at positions 476 to 851 of the family's 1478-position model. The record is from RNAcentral.
CAGCUCUUUCGAGUGGUGUCCAUGAUUAUUGAGCUUAAAGCGUUCGUAGCCGGUUCUGUAGGUCCCUGCUUAAAUCUGGCCGCUUAACGGUCAGCCUGGUAGGGGUACCGCAUUACUUGGGGACGGGAGACGGCAACGGUAUUCCGUAGGUAAGGGUGAAAUCUAAUGAUCUACGGAGGACCACCAGUGGCGAAGGCGGUUGUCGAGAACGUGCCCGACGGUGAGGGACGAAACCCAGGGGAGCAAAUCGGAUUAGAUACCCGAGUAGUCCUGGGGGCGUAAACGAUGUCCGUUAAGUGUUGCAUUGGCCACGAGCCCACUGCGGUGCUGUAGCGAAAGCGAUAAACGGACCGCUUGGGAAGUACGGUCGCAAGACUA